RNAcentral lists this ribosomal RNA (440 nucleotides) under uncultured bacterium. RNAcentral describes it as "partial 16S ribosomal RNA". It matches the Rfam family "Bacterial small subunit ribosomal RNA", at positions 338 to 795 of the family's 1533-position model. The record is from RNAcentral.
CCUACGGGAGGCUGCAGUGGGGGAUAUUGCACAAUGGGGGGAACCCUGAUGCAGCGACGCCGCGUGGGUGAAGAAGCGCCUCGGCGCGUAAAGCCCUGUCAGCAGGGAAGAAAAUGACGGUACAUGAAGAAGAAGCACCGGCUAACUACGUGCCAGCAGCCGCGGUAAGAAGUAGGGGGCAAGCGUUACCCGGAUUUACGGGGUGUAAAGGGGGCGCAGACGGCGAUGCAAGCCAGGAGUGAAAGCCCGGGGCCCAACCCCGGGACUGCUCUUGGAACUGCGUGGCUAGAGUUCAGGAGGGGCAGGCGGAAUUCCUGGUGUAGCGGUGAAAUGCGUAGAUAUCAGGAGGAACACCGGUGGCGAAGGCGGCCUGCUGGACUGCAACUGACGUUGAGGCACGAAAGCGUGGGGAGCAAACAGGAUUAGAUACCCUUGUAGUC